GGAGCUGUAGCUCAGAGGUAGAGCGGUAGAUGUAUGACUAAGCAACUCUGACCAAUCAGAAUCAUAUUCUAACAAUUUAUACAGUGCAAUUCGCAAUUAUCUAUAGGCCCCGUGUUCGAUCCACGGCAGUUCCU
Non-coding RNA from Aspergillus steynii IBT 23096, 134 nucleotides. The record is from the annotation of a RefSeq genome assembly. NCBI's taxonomy places the organism in Eukaryota, Fungi, Ascomycota, Eurotiomycetes, Eurotiales, Aspergillaceae.